Molecule: long non-coding RNA, 1672 nt
Organism: Prunus persica (peach)
Lineage: Eukaryota; Viridiplantae; Streptophyta; Magnoliopsida; Rosales; Rosaceae
Exons: 2
Source: RefSeq, a predicted model, not a curated record
AAAAAAAAAAAACUAAAAAAAUAUGUCAGUAUGUGACAUAUGGUUAGUUCUGUCGAUUUUACCAUUCAGAAAAUGAUGUGCGCGUCACGUGUGACUUUUGAAAAAUAGUGUGCAACGACAUCUCGAACAUAAAAAAUACUCUUCAAGAAGGGACGUGUGGUGUGUGAUACACACAACUUUGAAGAUGAAAAAAAUAGAUUGAGUUAUGUUAUGAAUAACACAUUGCAAUAGAGUUUUGAAUGAAGUGGCAAAUGCACUGACGGAUCUAGUCAUGUUUUGGGUAGGCAGCUGCCUAUUCGAAAAUUGUUCAAAAAUUAAAAAAGGUAGAUAUGAAUCAAUAAGACCAAGGAAAAGAGAAAGGGAAGAAGAAAAAAGAGAGAGAGAGAGAAGGAAUCAACAAGCCAAGGGAAAAGAGGAAAAAAAGAAAGGGGGGAGAGAGGGAGAAAGAUGAGGAAGGGACAAAAGUGACAGGGAGUCACGUGAUUAGAUAUAGGUGGUAUUGGACUCUAUAAUUAUUUUAUAUUGAGUAAAAUUGUUUGGACACCCAACUUUUUUGUACACCCUAGCCCAAUUUCUUGUACACUAGAGCCUAGAUUUUUUUGCGAUAGAUGCUAAUUGUUUUUACAUAUAUUAAUUAUUAUUAUUUUUAUCAAAAUGGAUUUGAUUCUUUUUUUCUUUUUUUUCUUAUUUGAUGGAUGAUCAUAACAUGAUGGAUGCAAUAUCAAUUUUAUUAUUUAUAUUAUUUUAAUCAUCGUAUCAGUGGUGCUAUAUAUGUAUCCUAAUUUUUAGAAAUUUCUUAUAUCAGUGUACCUGUACUCAUAUCCAUGCAACGUAUAAGUUCUGCUUACUCAAAUCCGCCAUUGGGCAAAUGAGUUCAAAUUUGGUUUUUGUUUUUGUUUUUCAGUUGUAACAACGCCUAUAAUCACAGUGGUGUUAGUGUAAUUUGGUUGAUUAUUCCCACGAAGGAAGAAACGAAGUUAUUGUGAAGCAUCGGUCUAAAACUAAAAGUGUAAAGCGCGGGGCUGGGUUUGUUCUCUCCACUUUCAUUUUCAAACCAAAACAAAAUACCUCGGAUUCGCGAACUAAAAAAGUACACAUAAACAAAGCAUUACUCGUUAUCAAACCAAACCAAACCAAACCGAGGCAAAGCAAACCCCCCAAAACUUCACUGUCUGCCUCUGGAAUCGUGCUAUGGAAGCCCAUUCUUCUCUCACCCUCCCUUCUCUUAAAACCCGCAAAAACGCCACUUUUUUCUUCUUUCUCUUCUUCAUACAAACCACAUUUCCCCUCUUUCUCUUUGUUCUACCAGAGACUAGGGUUUAAACAUGUCUUCUGCUUCUCACUCCCAAACCCACCUUGGCCAUGGCCUUCACCAUAAUAUUCUACUGCACUCGUCUGAGACUUGCCUUGUUCAAAAAGGUUGUAGGUUCAGAGACAGAGAUGGUUGCUCCAAGGAAUGUGCUCCAUUCCAACAUUGUACAUGAAAGAUUUUCCUUCUUUUAAGGUACUGUUGGGUUUAUGUAUUUGAAAUACAUAAGAGGGUUUGGAAGUGGGGAAUGAAGCCAGUUGGUCCGUGUAGCAUAGUUAGAAUUGUAAUAAAUAGAAUUUUAAUAUUUUUUUGGAUAAUAUACUUUUCUGCUGCAAUUUCAAGUUUUAUUGUCGUUUUAUUUUA